RNAcentral lists this long non-coding RNA (461 nucleotides) under Nicotiana benthamiana. RNAcentral's name for it is "long non-coding RNA (NBEN_LNC033220)". The record is from RNAcentral. Lineage: Eukaryota; Viridiplantae; Streptophyta; Magnoliopsida; Solanales; Solanaceae.
AGAAGGAAGAAGGAAGAAAGAAGAAAGAAGAAGUGAAGAUGAAGAACAUACCUAGGAUGUCGAGUCCAGAGAGAGGCUGGAAGAAGAAGAUGAUUUGCAGCAAAACCCUAAAUUGUCGACUGCUUGUGUUUUUGUAAAGCUGAUGUGUUUUAAUUACUGUAUUUUCAAAAUAGCGUCGCUACACAGCGCCUCGCGCCUCGCCUCGCCUCGCGCCACAGCAGUUGUUGUCCUCGCCAUUCUGCAUCGCAUCGCCACACUGCCCUUUGUGGCGUUAGGGAUUCGCUACGCCUCGCUACACGCUUUUAGCGCUGUAGCGAGCGCUUUUAAUAACACUGGACCCAAGAUAUCUGACACUUUCCCUCUUGGCGAUGACCUGAGAUCCAAUCAUCACGUCCCUGCCUACUUCGCUCGCCUCGGCGCUAAUCUUGCACUCCAGGUAUUCUGUCUUAGAUCUGCUUAUU